This is a long non-coding RNA of Magallana angulata, 378 nucleotides long. RefSeq lists it as uncharacterized. The record is from RefSeq and is a predicted model, not a curated record. The transcript has 3 exons. NCBI's taxonomy places the organism in Eukaryota, Metazoa, Mollusca, Bivalvia, Ostreida, Ostreidae.
AAACAAUACACAUAUUGCCAGGAGCGGAUCCGGAUAUUUUUUUAAUGCCCCUGAAUUCCGGCUCGGACAGAAAAAAAGUUUCUACGGAGUAACUUGGCUCCGGACAUGCUUUAUCCAGAGUAGAAAAGCGCAUGCAAGCGUAUCCAACUACCAUUGACAAGUGAUUAGAUCAUUGAAGUCUUCAUUUUGGACCAGUGGCGGGGUCAGAAAGCAAGAACGUGAACAAUCUAUGGCGUUGAAAGUGACAGCAUAAUAAAGAUGUUUCCAGAGACAGUUUCGUACCUUUCCUACACUACAGCCUAGCUUGGAGUAGACGCAGUCUAUGGACCGCCGCAUACAAUCGUGGUCAUAGUGUCUUUGCAGCUGUAAAAAAAUCGA